This 76-nucleotide transfer RNA is filed under the name Deferribacter thermophilus. RNAcentral's name for it is "tRNA-Lys". It matches the Rfam family "tRNA". Rfam says of the family: Transfer RNA (tRNA) molecules are approximately 80 nucleotides in length. Their secondary structure includes four short double-helical elements and three loops (D, anti-codon, and T loops). The record is from RNAcentral. Lineage: Bacteria; Pseudomonadati; Deferribacterota; Deferribacteres; Deferribacterales; Deferribacteraceae. RNAcentral also lists the same sequence under 3 other names.
GAGCCGUUAGCUCAGUAGGUAGAGCAACUGCCUUUUAAGCAGUGGGUCGCAGGUUCGAAGCCUGCACGGCUCACCA